AGUGAACGCUGGCGGUAGGCCUAACACAUGCAAGUCGAACGGCAGCACAGUAAGAGCUUGCUCUUACGGGUGGCGAGUGGCGGACGGGUGAGGAAUACAUCGGCAUCUACUUUUUCGUGGGGGAUAACGUAGGGAAACUUACGCUAAUACCGCAUACGACCUACGGGUGAAAGCAGGGGAUCUUCGGACCUUGCGCGAUUGGAUGAGCCGAUGUCGGAUUAGCUAGUUGGCGGGGUAACGGCCCACCAAGGCGACGAUCCGUAGCUGGUCUGAGAGGAUGGUCAGCCACACUGGAACUGAGACACGGUCCAGACUCCUACGGGAGGCCGCAGUGGGGAAUAUUGGACGAUGGGCGCAAGCCUGAUCCAGCCAUACCGCGUGGGUCAAGAAGGCCUUCGGGUUGUAAAGCCCUUUUGUUGUGAAAGAAAAGCAGCAGGUUAAUACCCCGCUGUUCUGACGGUACCCAAAGAAUAAGCACCGGCUAACUUCGUG
This 492-nucleotide ribosomal RNA is filed under the name uncultured bacterium. RNAcentral describes it as "partial 16S ribosomal RNA". It matches the Rfam family "Bacterial small subunit ribosomal RNA", at positions 29 to 507 of the family's 1533-position model. The record is from RNAcentral.